Molecule: non-coding RNA, 98 nt
Organism: Acanthosepion pharaonis
Lineage: Eukaryota; Metazoa; Mollusca; Cephalopoda; Sepiida; Sepiidae
Source: the annotation of a GenBank genome assembly
UUGAAACAGCAGUUUCUGUACGGUCACCGAAAUUAAGCAACGUUGAGCUAAAUUAGUACUUAGAUGGGUGACCGUUUGAGAAAAUCAGAUGCUGUAAU